Paramuricea clavata is the source of this 254-nucleotide non-coding RNA. Lineage: Eukaryota; Metazoa; Cnidaria; Anthozoa; Malacalcyonacea; Plexauridae. The record is from the annotation of a GenBank genome assembly.
AUCGGGCGGUUUUGGCAGUUGCUUCAUUCCCGACACGCGUCGCGAUCCCACAAAGAAACUCUACGCUGCGCGACCGGGCCUGCGCGUGUGGACAGCGGACGAAAGCGGGAAAGUCUCGUCAACCUCCGUUUUCAAAUCGUUACUCGCCGACAAACUGCCGGUCAUACGAACAUUGAGCGGAAACGAUACCAAAUUUAACAGCAGCGGUCAGUUUGGCCAACUCCUGACAUUCUACAAUCAAUAUGUUAUAACGU